UGCAGUCGAACGGCAGCAUAGGUGCUUGCACCUGAUGGCGAGUGGCGAACGGGUGAGUAAUGCAUCGGAACGUGCCCAGUCGUGGGGGAUAACGCAGCGAAAGCUGUGCUAAUACCGCAUACGAUCUAUGGAUGAAAGCGGGGGACCUUCGGGCCUCGCGCGAUUGGAGCGGCCGAUGUUAGAUUAGGUAGUUGGUGAGGUAAAGGCUCACCAAGCCUACGAUCUAUAGCUGGUCUGAGAGGACGAUCAGCCACACUGGAACUGAGACACGGUCCAGACUCCUACGGGAGGCAGCAGUGGGGAAUUUUGGACAAUGGGCGAAAGCCUGAUCCAGCAAUACCGCGUGCAGGAAGAAGGCCUUCGGGUUGUAAACUGCUUUUGUACGGAACGAAACGGUCUGGAUUAAUACUCUGGGCUAAUGACGGUACCGUAAGAAUAAGCACCGGCUAACUACGUGCCAGCAGCCGCGGUAAUACGUAGGGUGCAAGCGUUAAUCGGAAUUACUGGGCGUAAAGCGUGCGCAGGCGGUUUUGUAAGACAGGCGU
This 545-nucleotide ribosomal RNA is filed under the name uncultured bacterium. Its description in RNAcentral is "bacterial SSU rRNA". It matches the Rfam family "Bacterial small subunit ribosomal RNA", at positions 56 to 595 of the family's 1533-position model. The record is from RNAcentral.